RNAcentral lists this ribosomal RNA (254 nucleotides) under uncultured bacterium. Its description in RNAcentral is "partial 16S ribosomal RNA". It matches the Rfam family "Bacterial small subunit ribosomal RNA", at positions 524 to 776 of the family's 1533-position model. The record is from RNAcentral.
UACGUAGGGGGCAAGCGUUGUCCGGAUUUAUUGGGCGUAAAGAGCGUGUAGGCGGCCAUUCAGGUCAGCUGUGAAAACUCGAGGCUCAACCUCGAGACGUCGGUUGAAACCGUUUGGCUAGAGUCCGGAAGGAGGAGAGGUGAAUUCCCGGUGUAGCGGUGAAAUGCGCAGAUAUCGGGAAGAACACCCGUGGCGAAGGCGGCUCUCUGGGACGGUACUGACGCUGAGACGCGAAAGCGUGGGGAGCGAACAGG